AUUGAACGCUGGCGGCAGGCUUAACACAUGCAAGUCGAGCGAGCGGCGGACUGGUGAGUAAUGUCUGGGAAACUGCCUGUUGGAGGGGGAUAACUACUGGAACCGGUAGCUCAUACCGCAUACCAUCAGAUGUGCCCAGAUGGGAUUAGCUAGUAGGUGGGGUAAAGGCUCACCUAGGCGCCGAUCCCUAGCUGGUCUGAGAGGAUGACAAGCCACCCUGAAACUGAGAGACGGUCCAGACUCCUACGUGAAGCAGCAGGGGGGAAUAUUGCACAAUGGGCGCAAGCCUGAUACAGCCAUGCCGCGUGUGUGAAGAAGGCCUUCGGGUUGUAAAGCACUUUCAGCGAGGAGGCGUUACUCGCAGAAGAAGCACAGGCUAACGCCGUGCCAGCCGCCGCGGUAAUAC
Molecule: ribosomal RNA, 406 nt
Filed under: uncultured bacterium
Lineage: Bacteria
Description: partial 16S ribosomal RNA
Rfam family: Bacterial small subunit ribosomal RNA
Source: RNAcentral